UCUCUCGCCAUCACAGCGUGGUUGCAGCCCCGAAGCCACAUUGUUUGCACUCAGCAUCCACCCAGGAUUGUUUGUUCCCUUCCUUGCAAGGCAUUGGGUAUUCGGUGCUCUAGUCAAGCCAUGGGUUCUCCCUCCCCGCUCUCUCGCUCCCCCCGACGUGGAAUUCUUGUCAGAGUCUUUUCAGAGUGGUUCUCCAAAGCUCCGAGGACUUCCUGAAUUAUAAGAAUUUGCCAGACCCAAGCUGCAGUGAAGAUGCCAGUCUGUCUGCUGUAAGGAGGAUUGAUUUUGGGGUAUCUCUGAAGCUUUUUGUUUUAUUCUACUCAGAGUCAAGAGAACCUCUCUUGAGGACAGUGAAAUAUGCCCUGGCACAUUUCUCCUGAGCACAUGUUUAUAUUUCAGCAUGAAAGAGCCCCCUAAGCAUGCUAAGAAUUUAUCCAGCGAAGGUUGCAAUUUCUCAAGUCCCUUAUAAAGUCAUUAUGGUUGAUUUGACCUCUGGGAUAAUACACAUCUCACAGUGCAGAAGAAUAUCAGUGUACACAUUUUUUGAUCAUGGCAGAACUCUAUUUAGACAUAAUUACUGAUGUGUAUGAGGGCAUGUUUUCAUAGCUUUAUUUCUCUCUUAGAUAAUAGGACCUGUGCCCUUCAAAAAGUCAUAGCACCUUGGGAGGUGCUAUUUUAGUUACAUAGUAGAGAUUCUCUUGUUCCCACUCUUAAUUCGUCACCAGAAGAGGUGAGGCUUUGUUUUCUCGUGUGUUUAAUUAUUUCACCCUUCACAAUGUAAGGAAAUCUUCUGGGAAAAUACCACAUACUUUUCAACUUUUUAGACCAAAAACAUUCCAUGUAAUUUGAUGCCUUUUUUGGGGGGGGAUGACUCAAGGGUCAUUCAUUACUGACUACAGCUUUUCCCAAAUUGGUGUCAGCAGAACAGUUAUCCACUGCAUAUCAAUAGGUAUCUAAGAAAAACAAUGCUCUGUGAUUAAAUAAAUUGAGUAAAUACUGGGUAAAUAAAAUAAGUCUCUUUCUUUUCUUUUUCUUUUUUUUUGCAGAUCCACUUAGAGCCUUUAUCCUGUUCAUGUAUAUUUUAGGUUUCCAAGGAGAGUUAGAGAAUGGAGUUUUUCUCAGAUAUAAGGGUCCAGAGAACCCCCUUUGUGUUAGAUUGUUAUAGUUCCUGAAGAAAAAUCUUUAGAAAAUUUGGGGAAAAUGCUGCUUUAGUGUGAUAAGUCUCUAGGGCUAUCUAUAUAUACGGAGUUAUUUGCCUCUAUAUUGAGUAACUGCAACAGCUGCUGAAUUUUUUGGUCCGCUUUUAAAAUACCAUUUCUGUGCCUUCUUCGUUUUUACCAUUUCCGGUUGUCACUCUGAGUGUUUUGGCCUCUCCUAAAGGCCUGAUACCCUCCCCUCACCCCACCUCCGUUAUGAUUGGCACCCGUAUAAUUGAUUAUUCAGAUCAGAAUACUUUUGGGGAAGUGAAAAGGAGCUGUUCAUACUUAUUCAGGGACAAAAGCUAUAAGCUCUGACUCUCCAGGGCAAACCAAGAUUGUUAUGGCUAACACAAAAUCAAAACAAAUCAACCUAAUUAAACAAGAGAGGGGUUUUAUCGGCUCAUGUAGCUGGAAAAUCUCAGCGGCGUGUGGUGUGGCUCGGGUCAGAGUUCUGGCUUUGUUUUCCAGGCUCCACGUGUAGGGUUUACCCGUGCACCCGUCUGCAUCACGGUGCGAAGUAAUCGUGGUGUUCUCAGGUUGUGCAUCUGGUCAUCCGCUGCACCGUUUGCCGUCAGAGAAGAGGCGCGUCUUUGCCCAGAAUUCUUAGUAGAAAUCCCGAGCUUUGUGCUGAUUGAACAAACUCCUCAGCCAAGCCCCAGGAACUCCAAGUGCUUAUGGGUAUGGAUGUGAGGCAGCAGUUAGCGUGGAAGGAGAUGGGAAACUCUGAGAUUGCCAUGGUUUUCAGAGACUAUCCCUGGAGGUGGGACUCCAUCCUAUCUGGUGAGAAUGGCUACUAACAUUGGAGGCGGGGUGGAAUGGAUGUUGGGGAGAGGUGUUGUCUGCUAUACAUUGCGCCUUAGUAGUUCCCCCAAUCCUGUGAGAGAUUUGGUGACCUAUUAGCAUUUUGUGUAAACUAGUAAGAAGGCUCCAAAGGCCCUCCUGUAACGAAUGUGCAUGAACACUGAGUUUGUCACAUGUGUUUGGACGGUGCAGAGGCUUUUUUGCUUUCUUUCUAAUUCUCAGUUGUUUUCCAGGUACUUGAGGCCAAAUAGCAGAGCUGUAGAUAGAUGGAUAAGCAAUGAGAUCCUGCUGUAUAGCACUGGGAACUAUAUCUAGUCACUUAUGAUGGAGCACGAUGGAGGAUAAUGGGAGAAAAAGAAUGUAUCACUUUGCUGUAUAGUAGAAAAUUGACAUAAC
RNAcentral lists this long non-coding RNA (2396 nucleotides) under Sus scrofa (pig). RNAcentral's name for it is "lncRNA (ENSSSCG00025026331.1, ENSSSCG00055021886.1)". The record is from RNAcentral. Lineage: Eukaryota; Metazoa; Chordata; Mammalia; Artiodactyla; Suidae.